AAGUCGAGCGGACUUAAAAAGCUUGCUUUUUAAGUUAGCGGCGGACGGGUGAGUAACACGUGGGCAACCUGCCUGUAAGACUGGGAUAACUUCGGGAAACCGGAGCUAAUACCGGAUAAUCCUUUCCUACUCAUGUAGGAAAGCUGAAAGACGGUUUACGCUGUCACUUACAGAUGGGCCCGCGGCGCAUUAGCUAGUUGGUGAGGUAACGGCUCACCAAGGCGACGAUGCGUAGCCGACCUGAGAGGGUGAUCGGCCACACUGGGACUGAGACACGGCCCAGACUCCUACGGGAGGCAGCAGUAGGGAAUCUUCCGCAAUGGACGAAAGUCUGACGGAGCAACGCCGCGUGAGUGAUGAAGGUUUUCGGAUCGUAAAACUCUGUUGUUAGGGAAGAACAAGUACGAGAGUAACUGCUCGUACCUUGACGGUACCUAACCAGAAAGCCACGGCUAACUACGUGCCAGCAGCCGCGGUAAUACGUAGGUGGCAAGCGUUGUCCGGAAUUAUUGGGCGUAAAGCGCGCGCAGGCGGUCCUUUAAGUCUGAUGUGAAAGCCCACGGCUCAACCGUGGAGGGUCAUUGGAAACUGGGG
RNAcentral lists this ribosomal RNA (594 nucleotides) under Bacillus benzoevorans. Its description in RNAcentral is "bacterial SSU rRNA". It matches the Rfam family "Bacterial small subunit ribosomal RNA", at positions 59 to 638 of the family's 1533-position model. The record is from RNAcentral. Lineage: Bacteria; Bacillati; Bacillota; Bacilli; Caryophanales; Bacillaceae.